Hylaeus volcanicus is the source of this 1443-nucleotide long non-coding RNA. RefSeq lists it as uncharacterized. NCBI's taxonomy places the organism in Eukaryota, Metazoa, Arthropoda, Insecta, Hymenoptera, Colletidae. The record is from RefSeq and is a predicted model, not a curated record. The transcript is spliced from 3 exons.
CGUCAAGAUUCCAUCGAGUUCGAUCCGAUCGAUUCUUCGGUUACGAGCAAAGGACAUCCACGGUGAUCGUGGCACGCUGAUUCGUCGCUUCUGCUAGAUUCCACAGGACGCGAUCUAGUCAACUUUCGAGAGGAUCAGAGGAAUUCGCGAGCUUUGAAGUGGCUAUCUCUGAUAAUGAAAAAUUCAACGAUGCACACUCCUAGAUACGAAACAACUAUAGAUACACAUUCUAAGUAUCGCGCGCAGACAAAUCAUGUGGUAUAUUUUCCACGGUCGAUACAGAAGAAUCAGUCAAUCGGCGUACGAGCGGGUUAAUCAUGCCUUCUACAGAUGUCUCCAUGCAUGCGAUUAAUCGCUAGAUUUCCAACUAUUCGAAUUGCUAGUUACGCAUGAAACUUUGUUAAUUUUUAUUUUUAUAAUUGUUUAUGCAGUUACACUUAAUAAUUUCUGAUAUUUAAAGGAAAUUAAUUUUAGAGAUUUUAUGCAACUUAAAUAGAAAAUCUAACUUGCUUCUAAAAAUGAUAUUUACUGUAAUUGAAGAUGUAUCGUGUGAUUAAUGAAAUAAAUUAAUUUUAAAUUUUGUAAUAUUUAUAUUCGGAUCUUUUCCUGAUUGUAUACCCAAUUGCGUUCACAGAUAAAAAGUUUGACAAGCACGCGUAAAGUAAUGUUUGUUAUUUAUUCAGUUCCCACAUAACAAUGUGUACAUUAUGAUUUUAAAUUGCAAAUCAACUUGUAAAGGUAGUAAGUGUUGAAAAUAACAUUGAGUGAUAAGCAAAAUUUUAAUAUGAAAUCAGAAGCAAUGAAAAAGAUGUUAAUUAAGACUAGGAAUAUGUGUAAGCGUAAUACACGAUAAUAAUAAAUUCAAUUGAAAAUUCUACUUAAAUGCAUGUCCUGUGUUUCACCACAAUCGCAACAAUGAGGCAUGGAUACCGCAGGAUACCGAGGUAACAGGAUAACAGUAUACCAAAUGAUACUGAGCGACGAAAUUCAAGCGAGUAUUCGUAUUUUAUUCACGGAGAUGUAAUGUGAGAAAUAAAGCAGGACAUUAAAGAAACUAACCGUCGCAUAAACUUGUGCGACAAGUUUCGUUCACACGACACUGACAACCUCUGGUCAGGUUCAAUCUGAAAUUAAACACACUUAAUUUAAAAUGCUCAAGAGUUCUGCCCAGAUUCGAAUAUACUUUGAUAAAUAUAUAACAAUAAGUCACUCUUUCAUGCAUAAAACACUGUUAUUUUUGUAACGAGUUAAGUAAUAUAAGAGUCUUUAAAUGUAUUUUUCAGUAAACAAAAUAUUCCCCAAAAUUGUUUUAAUUACAAUAUCUUUGGUAUCGAUUAGACAAUGCAAGGCUUCGAACACAAUUUUACCAUUCUCGAUUUUUAGCUUACAAUUAUGGCAUAGAUUCAUCCCCUAAAGCGAUACUCACCUGUAGAGCCACCCCCA